Long non-coding RNA from Stegastes partitus (bicolor damselfish), 578 nucleotides. RefSeq lists it as uncharacterized. The transcript has 2 exons. The record is from RefSeq and is a predicted model, not a curated record. Lineage: Eukaryota; Metazoa; Chordata; Actinopteri; Pomacentridae.
UAGUUUUCUAGUUUUAUUUUACUUGAACAAACUAUAUAGUUUUACAUGUUAAAUGCACAGGAGAUUGCAUGAUUUGAAUACAUGCCUUAUAAAUUUGUUUUAUUCAACGCACGUUUAAAAUGAAGCAAUCUCCGUUACUAUCUGCACACAAUGUUACAUUUCUCAGAAGCAUGAAUCAUAAGCACUAAAUCACACAUGCACAUGUGUAAAUGCACAAUUUGUCCUCUUUGUAGUUUCUGAACUUCAAAAAAAAGAUAUUAAUACAGCACCCACCACCACUAUGCAGAUGACACCUUUCUAAUCAUCUGAUCUAACAGGUGUGUAGGAAGUCUCUCUAAACGUACACAGACACAUGCGCACACAAUUUGUCCUCUGUGUAGUUUCUGAGUUUAAAAAAAAAUACAGCCCUCCAAACACAUAUGCACUGAUCCCACUGUGUGGGUGACACCUUUGUAAUAUUCUAACCUGUCUAAUCAUGUGAUCUAACCGGUGUGUAGAAAGCUCCUAAACACACACACACACACACACACACACACACACACACAAUUUGCAAACACAUAGGUGGGCACCACAACUAU